Molecule: transfer RNA, 74 nt
Filed under: Selenihalanaerobacter shriftii
Lineage: Bacteria; Bacillati; Bacillota; Clostridia; Halanaerobiales; Halobacteroidaceae
Rfam family: tRNA
About the family: Transfer RNA (tRNA) molecules are approximately 80 nucleotides in length.
Source: Rfam by way of RNAcentral
GUGGGUGUAGCUCAGUAGGUUAGAGCGCAGGAUUGUGGCUCCUGAGGCCGUGGGUUCAAAUCCCAUCACUCACC